RNAcentral lists this ribosomal RNA (253 nucleotides) under uncultured bacterium. Its description in RNAcentral is "partial 16S ribosomal RNA". It matches the Rfam family "Bacterial small subunit ribosomal RNA", at positions 524 to 776 of the family's 1533-position model. The record is from RNAcentral.
UACGAAGGGGGCUAGCGUUGCUCGGAAUCACUGGGCGUAAAGCGCACGUAGGCGGCUUUCUAAGUCGGGGGUGAAAUCCUGGAGCUCAACUCCAGAACUGCCUUCGAUACUGGAAAGCUCGAGUCCGGGAGAGGUGAGUGGAACUGCGAGUGUAGAGGUGAAAUUCGUAGAUAUUCGCAAGAACACCAGUGGCGAAGGCGGCUCACUGGCCCGGUACUGACGCUGAGGUGCGAAAGCGUGGGGAGCAAACAGG